CCUCGUCGCUCUCCUUUUUAUCGUCGGUCCCAAAAAAGUUUCCGUUUUUCGCGGAGGAAGAGUGGGAGACGCAGAGGAAGCUCCAAUGGAUCGCCUCGCCUUCGUCGAGGACAAAUCGACCAGCACUGGAACCGUAACCCUAGCCCGAAGAGGGAGCCGAUUUCGUCGCCAUUUGCUCAUGCCCAUGAAAAUCCAAUGACAAUGCCAAUUCAGUUUAGGCAGGAUCCUGUGCUUGCAAAUCAAGUUGCUAAGAAGUACAGUGUUGGGGAAGAAAGUAGCCCUAUUAUCACCAAUCUUUUAUGAAUAGGAGUCAGGUAUUGUCACCCACUUAGAAGAGCACAAAACUCUGAGAGAUUUAGUAAUGGAACUACAAGUUCUGGAAUCAACUUGUCACAUGUUUUUUGAGUAGCAUUAUGCUGCAUCUUCCUCUGGAUGAAGAAUACAAGUAUAAGAGGGACACGUUAUAGUGAACCAGAAAAAAGAAAUCUGAUCAUUCAUAUCCAAGAAGGUCCAAUCAGCAGAAUAUAUUAGAGGGUUUUCCUUUUUUUUCCUGGUGGACCAAUACUUGUCCACAGGUGAUCUUGAUUACACUGGUCUUGAAGGAUAUUCAGGAGGGUUGAAGGUUGCUGGGUCUCCUGUUCGUUGGUACUGACAAUUUGUGUCUCCACUUGGAAUGUCACAACCUCGUCGAGGGCAGCAGCCUGAUCUUAAUAACCUGCAACCAUGGCAACAACUAUUGAUGUGCCAACUGAUACAAGAGCCUCAGAGCCAGAAUAAAUUUAAGCAGCUAGAUCCGGGUACAGGACAGCGAAAUUCACUUAGCAAAUUGUCCGCUUCAGCAAAACCAGCACCUGUGGAUCAGUUACCUGCAAUGAUAGAUGAUGUCCCUAUUAAUCAUGUGUCCGAUUGUAAUUGGCCAAAAACUGUUGUUCCGAGCAUGCCUUUAGUGCCUAUUAACUCUCAACCAUUUAUUGGGGACAACAUGAACUGGCUGCAGUUAAAUGACAAUCCUACUGUACCAAAUGUUGCAAGUAGUUUCGUAAUUUCAAAUAAUCAAAUUCAAACAAUGCGAUCUAUGGGUUUCAUCCCACAACAGUUUGACCAGACUUUUCAUGGCAUUCCUGUUUCAAGCGCCAAAGGGGUUAUAUGUCAACAUCCUCAGUUCUUUGGGGCGUCUAGUAAUUGCACUGAUUUGACAACUACUGGAGCCAGGAAUGAAUCAAGAAAAGCAUGGGUUCCAUUUAACUCUCUUCAGAGUGAUCAGUCUUCUCCUGCACAAAACUUCUCACGGGAAAGAACAUUUGCUAUGUGUAAUUUUCAUGGCAAAGGCUCACUUGAUAAUGCUUCAGUGCAAGUUCUGAGUAAUGAUGUUACAUCAGGAAACUUUCAGCAAAUAGAUAAUCUAAAAUGCAGUGUUCGGGUUCAUGAAGUCCAAGAUAAUCAGGACAAAGCUGACUUGUCAAGUAACUUGCACGAAAAUCCAUCAAUGCAAGUAGAGACUUCCGAUGAUGUGGCUGCUAACCUAGACCCUACAGAACAGAAGCUUUUGUUUGGUAUGGAUGAUGGCCACAGUUUGGAAGUUCCCUUGGGUGGGAGCCUGAACACUUGUUCAGGCAACUUUCUUUGUGGGUCUUCUUUGGAGAACAUCCAUUUUGGUGCUAUUCCUUCCAUGCAAAGUGGAAGCUGGAGCGCUCUUAUGCAGGAGGCUGUACAGGCUUGCAGCAGUGAUAAGGGAAUCCAGGAAGAGUGGAGUGGUUUGAGCUACCAGAAAAUGGAAUGUCCAAUGGUAAUGGAUUCAGUUGUGUCUAAUGAUAAUGCCAAGCAGCCAACCACUUGGGAUGACAGCUACCUGCAGAGUGCAUCCUCAUUAACUUCAAGACAUCUUCCUUUGUAUAAUGAUGCUGAUGCAUGUUCGAAUUCAUGCACUUCCCCUAGUUUUCAUAACUCAUUUGCACAUGAUGGAAAUAGUAGGGUACAAAGUGGAGCUCCUCAUGUGUCUUUUCAGCUGUCUGCUGGUGGAAACAAUUACAAACAGUUUCAUCAGGAUCAAAAGCAGAAACCAAUCUUCGAAGGUGGUCCUCAAGCACAGAUACCUUUAACCAAUGAAGUGUGGGUGGACCAGUCAUAUGAGCAGUGUGCAAAUGAUUCUGUAGACAUGCAGUAUACUGAGGGAAGCUGGACCUACCAACAAAAUGAGGCCUUGGUGAAUUUUCCUGGGGAGUUUAGUGAUACACCAAAUUUCUGGAACAGUAGUUAUAUUAUGGCACCUGGCGGGGAUUGUGUCUCAGAUGUUUGUGAUAAUGAUGUUAAUAUGGGGAAGCCUGGUGGUAGUAACAUGCAUGUGAACAGCGGAGAACAACCAGUCGAAUCCGAUAUUGGCAGUUCGGUGCAAGCUGAAGAUUUUGCAGUUGACAACUAUGGUUCUGUUGUGAACACAAACAACUUUGAGUGGAAUGAUGAGAUGAAUCAGCUGGCAUCCAAUUCAGGUCUGAUGGUUUUUGGUAAAAACUUGAACUUUGAUGCAUGUGUAACUGUAAAAACUAAUGGUGACAAAAAUGUGGAAAGAAACUAUAAUCAAUUAAGUGGGAGACCACAAACUAGUUAUGACACUAACAAAAGAUUAAGCAGCACCGAUGAAAACAAAAAAGAUCUGCAGAUGGUUUCAGGUGAUGGCUAUACAUCCAGUAGUUUAGACCACAGCCGAUAUAGCUAUACUAUAGAUAGUGCAAAGGAAAAUUCUGUGUUGGCUGCUAAUGACCAGAAAUCUUUUGUAUCCGAGAUCCAAGAUUCAUUGAUCCAAACUGGUCAACAUACUGUGGGUUCUAAAAUGAAGCGGUUAACAGGAAGUUUGGGGAUGGAUGUGGAACCUUUGCUCCCUAAAAAUCAUCCAUUUAUUUUUCAGUGCAUGCCCAAAUCAGUUAUUCAAGGAUAUAAAAAAGAGGAACAGAUAUAUGCUCAAAAGUCUAAGUUUGCAGAUCAUAUUGAUUCAAACAAUGUUGAAAACCUUGUUAAGAGAAUUGCAGUGGAAUCACAGAAGCUACAAUCUAGAGAUAACAUCUUGACUCAUGCUUCGGCUUCUUCCUUUGAUGGAUCCAUUGGUCCAUAUUCCCAAAAUAAAAGAAUUGCUCAAACAAGUCAAAAUGUGCUUGAGCUUCUUCACAAGGUUGAUCAGUCAAGGAAUACUGAUAUCCCUGCUCAAGUUGGUUUUGAUACUGCUUCUCCUCGUAUUUGUCAGCCAUCUGCUGUGCAAGGUUUUGGUUUGCAAUUGGCCCCACCAUCUCAACAAUUUUCGAAGUUUGUGUUACCUUCCAAUACUUGUCUAAAUAUUAAUCCUAUGAACUUAGACAGCAAGGCAGGAGAUAAAGACCAGAUAUGGUCAAUUUCUACACCAUCAGUUCAAUCUCUCAUGAAUGAAACAUCUCAAAGAGAAAAUCAGAGUAAGAUAUCUAGCAUAUCAGAACAAAAGCAUAAAGAAGCUUUAUACUGUGAUAAGCAAAAUACCUUAUCCGCAAUAGCUCGUAAUUCUUGUAAUAUGAGGAACCACCUACAAGGGCAGCAGUCACAGGAACGUAAUCCUAAUGUGAACGUUUAUCUGGAGAAAGAGCAAGAUAUUCCUAGUUCCACUGGAUAUGGAACAUUAGAUCAGUCAAUGAAUUUUACCAUUUUUAACCAAGCUAAUGCAAAUGCUCUUGUCAAAAAUACCUCACUACUUCAACAACCAUAUAAAUCUCAUGAUGGGGCGGUAGCUGAUCGAUCUAUUCAGACAUCAUUUCCUUCUCUGGCUGGCAGAGUUCCACCUUUUAGAGUCGCUUCUGGUGAACAGUUGCAGACAACAAAGAUGGAUUAUACAAAGCAGAAGCAGGUUGUUCAGGACUUCUCUCAGAUUAGUAGUUCAAUGUACUCUAAUACAGAAACAAUAUCAAUCCAGCCUUCUACUGCAGGCAUUUCUUAUCAAGUUGACCCAUCGUCAAUGUUGGCAUACAUGUGGACAAAUAUAUCAACCCAACAACAUCAAGCUAGCCUUCUCCCUGACAGUCUCAGCCUACAGAUACCUCAGUCACAUAAUAUUAGGGAAACAAGUUUUUUGGGCCUGCAAAAGACAUAUGAUCAAGGAAGUAAUGGAGAGAGUGCUUCUUCCGAAGUUGGCACAAGUUCUCAUUUGAUGAACAGAGAUGAUCCAAAUAAGAGAUUUUCCUUAAAGCCAUCAAUUACUGAGAAGAUAGAUUCUAUUACCCAGGCAGAAACUGAAUUCCAAUGGACAGAACUAGUGGGAAAUGCUGAGGAGGGUUUGAAUACAUUCAUUCCAUCCUUGGUCCAUUUGCAUCAGAAGGGCAUGGACCAGGGGAAAAGUUGGCAUGCUUCAACUCCUUACACUCAAGCAGUACAUGCUUCCAUUAACAGAAUGGCCUCUUCUAGCAGUGAAAUUGGGUUCCCUGGUUUUACUUCAAAUCCUUCAGAUGUUCAACAGAAAAAUUGUUCCCUUCUGCACCGGAUGCAAGCUAGGAGGAAAGCUGAUUCUGAUCUAAGCAACAAGGUACAAAGUAGGCUAAGGGGAGCUGAUUUUGUCUCUAAUUCUUCUUUUGUGUACUGGAACAAUGAUCAGGGAAAUGUUCAGGAACAAGAUUCAGACUUCAAAAUUCCUGCAUAUCGUGAACUUGGUGCAUGUUCACAAAGUUUGUUACCAUCGAAUGCAAAAAUGCUAAGUUUUGCUUCUAAAGAAAAUGUGUUACAAAAUGCAAGCACACCUUCUUCAGGAGGGCAUUGUCUUCAAAAUGAUAUAUCCUCUCUUAGUACAUGUUCAACAGCUAAUUUAAUCAGAGGAAAUGAGCACACUUGUAUGAACCCUCAAGUGUCUCCAUCUUGGUUUGAAAAAUAUCAAAUGUAUAAAAAUGAUGCAGUAAUUGCUGAACAUGAUGGCCAGAAGAUUACAAAACCUACUUCUCAGCAGAAUUUUUUCUCAGAUAUACCUGGGAGCACAGCCGAAAACAUUAUGGUCAAGCACAGAAUUCAAAACAGUCAGACAUAUACUUGGCCAAGUUCAUCAAUCGCAGAGGUAUCUUCCGAUAGACCCCAUUCACUGCUUCCUACUAUUGUGGACCAGGAUGCAGUUAUAAGAUCAAGGAAGCGGAAAAACACAAUUACAGAGCUUCUGCCAUGGCACAAGGUCGCACAAGGACAGCAGAGGUUAAGAAGCAUCAGUAUUGCAGAACUAGACUGGGCUCGGGUUACCAAUAAGUUGUUUGAAAAGGUGCAUGAUGGAGCUGAAGCUUUGGAGAAUGGCCCAUCAACAACUCAACCACGAAGAAGGCUAAUUUUGACUACUCACUUGAUGCAUCAACUCAUUCCAGCUGUACCAUCUCGAAUACUUAAUAAGGAGGUCAUUUCAGCCUAUGAAAAUGUUACCUUCUCCAUUGCUAAAUCAGCACUUGCAGAUGUGUGCAGCUUGAUCUCUUCCUUGGGAAGAGAUUAUCACAUUCAUUUGGAAAAAGAGAAUACGUUUUCUGAUAAUGUUACCUCUUGUAAGAAGGCAGGAGACCAUCUUUGCUCAAAAAUCAUGGAAGUCUUUAUUCAAAGAUCCAAGAAGCUUGAGUGUGAUUUCUCAAGGUAUGAACAUAAUCCGGUGGUUGGUUUGAAUAUCAUUGGUUUCCUUCUUCUGAUGUGUUGUUCUUUAUUAAAAAAUUGGUUAUAUUUGAAUGUAAGUCCAUGCUUUGACCUGAUAUUUUUGUAAAGUUAGUUUAACUAAGCCCUGUAUCAGCCAACGAUGAUCUUAUUUACCAGUCCAUAAUUACAUGACAACUCUAAAAUCAGGAUUAUUGAAAGCUUGGUUUUAAGUAACAUCCGAGGUGUAGCUUGGUUCAAACAAUAUUGUUGAGAUUUAUUACCAUAAUUACACUGAUAGAACAUGAGAAGGUUUCAGUUAAACUAAAGGUGCCAGGUGAUGUAGAGAAAAAGCAAGUAGGACUUUGUUGUGUCAUUGAAUAAAUAUAAUGGUGCUUGAACCAAGCUUUUCAGAAAUAUGGCCAUAUGGUCAGGAUUAGUUGGACCUGAUGCAUAUUGUGAUUGUGGCUGAACCUGAGCCAAAUUGGGUUGAUCAGGAUCGGAUGAUUCCAACCAAAUUUGAUCAGGUUCUGACGAAUGACAAUUACAUCUGUUAGAAAGGGAGCUAGGAGAAGAGAGAGGGGAAGGGGCAGAGGACAGAAGACGUAAGAGGAGGGGAAAAAAAAUGGAUCAUGGACAUUGGUCAUCUUGGGGACUUCACUGGCUGCCUCUCUUGGCACAUUGUUUGGAUUUUUAAGUGAGAAUUUUACGUGGAUGAUAUGCCUCUAGUAGUGGAUGGGGAAUUUGCCUACAUCUAAUAGCUUAUGCGAGUCGCAGGUGAAGAUGCAGUUGCAGAAGAAAGAUUAUUUUUCAAUGAAUGGCAUGCCUUCAGAUUGGACAAGAGGUCAUCAGUGUUAAACGUCCGAAAGGAGUUCCACGAAUUGGAAAGGUUCUCUCUCGUUAACCGUUUAGGCGAGUUUCAUGGACGGCCUCCGAUAAUCGAAGACAGUUCUUCCACUUCAGAAGCUCC
Molecule: RNA transcript, 6568 nt
Organism: Musa acuminata AAA Group (dessert banana)
Lineage: Eukaryota; Viridiplantae; Streptophyta; Magnoliopsida; Zingiberales; Musaceae
Exons: 10
Source: RefSeq, a predicted model, not a curated record